AUUGAACGCUGGCGGCAGGCCUAACACAUGCAAGUCGAACGGUAGCACAGAGAGCUUGCUCUCGGGUGACGAGUGGCGGACGGGUGAGUAACGUCUGGGAAACUGCCCGAUGGAGGGGGAUAACUACUGGAAACGGUAGCUAAUACCGCAUAACGUCGCAAGACCAAAGUGGGGGACCUUCGGGCCUCACACCAUCGGAUGUGCCCAGAUGGGAUUAGCUAGUAGGUGGGGUAAUGGCUCACCUAGGCGACGAUCCCUAGCUGGUCUGAGAGGAUGACCAGCCACACUGGAACUGAGACACGGUCCAGACUCCUACGGGAGGCAGCAGCGGGGAAUAUUGCACAAUGGGCGCAAGCCUGAUGCAGCCAUGCCGCGUGUAUGAAGAAGGCCUUCGGGUUGUAAAGUACUUUCAGCGGGGAGGAAGGCGGUGAAGUUAAUAGCUUCACCGAUUGACGUUACCCGCAGAAGAAGCACCGACUAACUCCGUGCCAGCAGCCGCGGUAA
Molecule: ribosomal RNA, 504 nt
Filed under: uncultured bacterium
Lineage: Bacteria
Description: partial 16S ribosomal RNA
Rfam family: Bacterial small subunit ribosomal RNA
Source: RNAcentral